Toxotes jaculatrix (banded archerfish) is the source of this 562-nucleotide long non-coding RNA. RefSeq lists it as uncharacterized. The record is from RefSeq and is a predicted model, not a curated record. NCBI's taxonomy places the organism in Eukaryota, Metazoa, Chordata, Actinopteri, Toxotidae. The transcript is spliced from 3 exons.
CAAGGAAACAAAAAGUCAUUUGAAAUAAAGACUGUGACGAAGUCAUCCUCUAAAAACUGAAGUUACUGUCAAAAACUUUACCUGCAUUUAGUCUGGUACAGACUCUGCCUUUUUCACUAACCCGUUUCCUGUAACCCACUGUCUCUCUGCUUCUCUUUCUUCCUCAGAUCGACUGGGAGGAAACAAACUGCAUAGUGAACUGCAGUCUCCUCUUACACCAGAAGCCUCAUCCAUUCACUGGGAACAAUUUCUUCAGCUGGUUGACUGCUGGUGUUAUCUUUGGUUUAGUUUUUUUUGCCAUCGUCCUAAUCAUCGUCUUCGUCAAAUGCAGAAGAACAGGAUCUAAGAACGUGACUUCAAACACUCAGUAUCUUAGGACUGAGACAACAGAUGGUGGCUAUGUUUAGAUUAGCUUUGGUCUGAUACAGCCACUAAUUUACUACACAAUGAUUUCAUUAAUAAUAAUAAUAAUAAUAAUACGUUUAAAUAGUAAUAAUAAUGUUAAAUCUAGCUGCCUGGUUAGCUCAGUUGGUAGAGCAAGAGACUUAAUCUCUCGGGGUCG